GUCUCCAUGAGCCCAGGCCUUUGCUCUGACCUCAGCUUAUUUCUCUGCCGGCUCCCAGGGCUCUGAAUGAAAACACGGCAGCCUGGGAGGGGCGAGCCUGGAAAUGGCAGCCCUGCCUCCGGCUGCAGGGAGGGCCCAGGCAGAGGACAUUUUGCACGGCGCAGGAGAGCAGAGCUGCCUCCCCCCGAGCACCGGCCGCCUGCUGCGGGGAAACCACAGGAGCAGCUGCGUGGGGCGCAGGGAGAGGAGGAGUGGCCCCAGCCCUAUCAGGGGCAGGAAAGAUCUUAUCCCCGCUGCUGCCCUCUACGCGCUCUUUAGCACCUCUCCUCUAGCUCUCUCGCUCCGGUCCCUCGGAUUUCCUGUAGCAACCUGCAGACGCAGCACAGCGGCGCCCAAGCCCCCCCCCCCCCGGGCCGCCCCCGGCGCUGCCCCCCUGUAUAUUUCUGCCUGUCCCUGCGGCCCGGGACGGUCCCGAGCACGCCAGCGCCCCGGCAGAUGUGCUGGGAGGAGGACGGGGGGACAGGACGAGAGGUAUCGGGUUGCUGAGGAGCACGGCCAGGAGAAAGCAGCCGAAAUGCCAGUCCGGGACCAUUUGGGAGAAGCAGCAGAACAGGCACGAAACCAGAAUACAGACUUUACUGUCAAGCCAAAAGCUCGUAUUGGCGUCGUGAAUUAUUUGCCUGCAUGCACGAGAGAAAUGAAACACACCCCCAAAACCAGCCCAAAGCACCAAAGACCAGGAGAGCACUGAAUUAUCAGGAGCCGAAGAGAAUCCCCGUCAAGUUAUCUCUACAUUUGAGAGCCACUUCAGGCAAAGCCAAAACCCAGCACACAUCGGGCUGAACCUGGCCACGGGAUUCCCGGGGGGGGGGGGGUGCCAGGUGGGUUGGGGGGGCCCGGGAGCCGAGGGGAGAGGCGGCCACAACUUCUACAGACCUGGCACCGGAGGAUUUCGGGGAGAGCGAUGACAGCUCUUUCCUCCAGCCAGUGGCUCUUUGCAGCACUGCCAGCCCUAACUUCGGGCAGGUACUGCAGUCCCUGGGAAAUGGGCGGUAUUGCCCCUUGGAAAACGCAGCUGUCCCCGCAGGGCAUGCCUGCUUUUUGUUUGUGGGCUUACGGGAGCCUGGGUGUAUCUCCUAUCUGUAGCCUGCAGGGACUCUGCCAGGGAAGAUGUGGGGGCCUAGGCACGCUCCUCGCUGAAACUUCAUCUGUGCAGAAGCCCUUUGGGAAUACGCGGGCUUGCGCCGGCCUCGUUGAGCUCCUGACCCUCGGGACUCCGCCACGGACAAAGGGGAGGGGGUGUCUAGCUGGCGGCGGGGUCGAGGGAGUCUGGCGUGGCCUCUCUGGGGUACCAUGACUCUGCAGCAUUUGGAAGAUCUGGGAUAGAGUCGCCGGCUAGAUGGAGAGGACCUGGGGGAAGCACAGGAUCUGUGCAAGGGGGCUCGGCUCCUAAUCCGCCCUCGGCAGGGGCCGUUUGGGAGCGGAGGGGAAGCGGUAGAGGAGGGCUGCAGAGAUGUCUCAAAAAAAAAAAAAUUGCCAAGAAUUUUUUUGGGGCAUGGAAUGGGGGAGGGGGGCUGCGAGGGGAGAAAGAAAGGCGCCUCUGAGCACCACGAAGGGAAAAGGAGAAAUAAUGACCCUUCCCCCUCCCCCCAAUAAUAAGGCAGACCAGAUGGGAGGUAAAUAGUGCGUUUAGAAGCAUUUGCCACAGAUGGGCUGCCCUCAAUGGAAGCAUCCUCCAGCCACAUCAAUGC
Molecule: long non-coding RNA, 1751 nt
Filed under: Anas platyrhynchos platyrhynchos (common mallard)
Lineage: Eukaryota; Metazoa; Chordata; Aves; Anseriformes; Anatidae
Description: lncRNA (ENSAPLG00000029499.1)
Source: RNAcentral